This 509-nucleotide ribosomal RNA is filed under the name uncultured bacterium. Its description in RNAcentral is "partial 16S ribosomal RNA". It matches the Rfam family "Bacterial small subunit ribosomal RNA", at positions 28 to 506 of the family's 1533-position model. The record is from RNAcentral.
GACGAACGCUGGCGGCGUGCUUAACACAUGCAAGUCGAACGAAGAGCGAUGGACGCUUGCUUCUAUCACUCUUAGUGGCGAACGGGUGAGUAACGCGUAAUCAACCUGCCCUUCAGAGGGGGACAACAGUUGGAAACGACUGCUAAUACCGCAUACGAUCUAAUCUCGGCAUCGAGGAUAGAUGAAAGGUGGCCUCUACAUGUAAGCUAUCACUGAAGGAGGGGAUUGCGUCUGAUUAGCUAGUUGGAGGGGUAACGGCCCACCAAGGCGAUGAUCAGUAGCCGGUCUGAGAGGAUGAACGGCCACAUUGGGACUGAGACACGGCCCAGACUCCUACGGGAGGCAGCAGUGGGGAAUCUUCCGCAAUGGACGAAAGUCUGACGGAGCAACGCCGCGUGAGCGAUGACGGCCUUCGGGUUGUAAAGCUCUGUUAAUCGGGACGAAAGGCCUUCUUGCGAAUAGUGAGAAGGAUUGACGGUACCGGAAUAGAAAGCCACGGCUAACUACGU